This 338-nucleotide long non-coding RNA is filed under the name Zonotrichia albicollis (white-throated sparrow). RNAcentral describes it as "lncRNA (ENSZALG00000000371.1)". Lineage: Eukaryota; Metazoa; Chordata; Aves; Passeriformes; Passerellidae. The record is from RNAcentral.
CUCUGGGAUGUCUAGAUUGUAAGAUAGAAUAAUGUAUAUUUACUUAAUACUUUCUCUGUCUAUAGGAAUUGCAAUUUACUAUUCUUUCCUGGAUUCUACUGUGAAACUCUGAGGGAAGACUUUAGGGAAUAUCCUGCUUCUCGUGUCAACUGUGCCUCACUUCUACCACUGAAACCACAAUUCACUGACAGCAAUCGUCCUGCCAUUCUACACUUCAGGAAGAAAAGAGCCAGCUGGUAACCUUUCAUUGCCUGACAUCUACUACAGGGCAAACUGUAGAGAGUUGCUCUCUAAUUGACAUUGAAUCCCAAGCUCUGUGUAUUCUGUGUAUUCUUUCA